RNAcentral lists this ribosomal RNA (541 nucleotides) under Thermothelomyces thermophilus. RNAcentral's name for it is "eukaryotic LSU rRNA". The stretch from base 177 to 330 matches the Rfam family "5.8S ribosomal RNA". The record is from RNAcentral. Lineage: Eukaryota; Fungi; Ascomycota; Sordariomycetes; Sordariales; Chaetomiaceae.
UCAUUACAGAGCUGCAAAACUCCCUAAACCAUCGUGAACGCUACCUAAACCGUUGCUUCGGCGGGCGGCGCCCUCGCGCGCCCCCCCUGGGGCCCGCACCGCGGGCGCCCGCCGGAGGUACACCAAACUCUUGAUAUGUUAUGGCCACUCUGAGUCUCCUGUACUGAAUAAGUCAAAACUUUCAACAACGGAUCUCUUGGUUCUGGCAUCGAUGAAGAACGCAGCGAAAUGCGAUAAGUAAUGUGAAUUGCAGAAUUCAGUGAAUCAUCGAAUCUUUGAACGCACAUUGCGCCCGCCAGCAUCCUGGCGGGCAUGCCUGUUCGAGCGUCAUUUCAACCCAUCAAGCCCACGGCUUGUGUUGGGGACCUGCGGCUGCCCGCAGGCCCUGAAAACCAGUGGCGGGCUCGCUAGUCACACCGGGCGUAGUAGCAUACGACCUCGCUCAGGGCGUGCUGCGGGUUCCAGCCGUAAAACGACCUUCACAACCCAAGGUUGACCUCGGAUCAGGUAGGAGGACCCGCUGAACUUAAGCAUAUCAAAA